This 701-nucleotide ribosomal RNA is filed under the name Mucor hiemalis f. hiemalis. RNAcentral's name for it is "eukaryotic LSU rRNA". It matches the Rfam family "Eukaryotic large subunit ribosomal RNA", at positions 42 to 648 of the family's 3401-position model. Lineage: Eukaryota; Fungi; Mucoromycota; Mucoromycetes; Mucorales; Mucoraceae. The record is from RNAcentral.
AUCAAUAAGCGGAGGAAAAGAAAAUAACAAUGAUUUCCCUAGUAACGGCGAGUGAAGAGGAAAGAGCUCAAAGUUGGAACCUAUUUGGCUUAGCUAAAUCGGAUUGUAAACUGUAGAAGUGUUUUCCAGACACGCCUGGUAAAAAAGUCCUUUGGAACAGGGCAUCAUAGAGGGUGAGAAUCCCGUCAUUGGCCAGAGCUGUUGUCUUUUGUGAUACAUUUUCAAAGAGUCAGGUUGUUUGGGAAUGCAGCCUAAAUUGGGUGGUAAAUCUCACCUAAAGCUAAAUAUUUGCGAGAGACCGAUAGCGAACAAGUACCGUGAGGGAAAGAUGAAAAGAACUUUGAAAAGAGAGUUAAACAGUAUGUGAAAUUGUUAAAAGGGAACCGUUUGGAGCCAGACUGGCUUAAUCGUAAUCAAUCUAGGCUUUGGCCUGGAUGCACUUGCGGUUUAUGCCGGCCAACGACAGUUUUGUUUGGGAGAAAAAAUUACAUUGAAUGUGGCCCCUCGGGGUGUUAUAGCUUUGUAAAAAAUAUCCUGGACUGGACUGAGGAACGCAGUGAAUGCCUUUAGGCAAGAUUGCUGGGUGCUUUCGCUAAUACAUGCUAGAAUUUCUGCUUCGGGUGGUGCUAGUGUUUAAAGGAGGAACUCGCCUGGUAUAUUUUUUAUUCGCUUAGGUUGUUGGCUUAAUGACUCUAAAUGAC